UAUACAUGCAGUCGAGCGAAUGAUGAGGAGCUUGCUCCUCUGAUUUAGCGGCGGACGGGUGAGUAACACGUGGGUAAUCUGCCUGUAAGACGGGGAUAACUCCGGGAAACCGGGGCUAAUACCGGAUAAUAAGAGAAGAAGCAUUUCUUCUUUUUGAAAGUCGGUUUCGGCUGACACUUACAGAUGAGCCCGCGGCGCAUUAGCUAGUUGGUGAGGUAACGGCUCACCAAGGCGACGAUGCGUAGCCGACCUGAGAGGGUGAUCGGCCACACUGGGACUGAGACACGGCCCAGACUCCUACGGGAGGCAGCAGUAGGGAAUCUUCGGCAAUGGGCGAAAGCCUGACCGAGCAACGCCGCGUGAGCGAUGAAGGCCUUCGGGUCGUAAAGCUCUGUUGUUAGAGAAGAACAAGUACGAGAGUAACUGCUCGUACCUUGACGGUACCUAACCAGAAAGCCACGGCUAACUACGUGCCAGCAGCCGCGGUAAUACGUAGGUGGCAAGCGUUAUCCGGAAUUAUUGGGCGUAAAGCGCGCGCAGGCGGUCUCUUAAGUCUGAUGUGAAAGCCCACGGCUCAACCGUGGAGGGUCAUUGGAAACUGGGAGACUUGAGUGCAGGAGAGAAAAGUGGAAUUCCACGUGUAGCGGUGAAAUGCGUAGAGAUGUGGAG
This 669-nucleotide ribosomal RNA is filed under the name Fictibacillus phosphorivorans. RNAcentral's name for it is "bacterial SSU rRNA". It matches the Rfam family "Bacterial small subunit ribosomal RNA", at positions 50 to 703 of the family's 1533-position model. Lineage: Bacteria; Bacillati; Bacillota; Bacilli; Caryophanales; Fictibacillaceae. The record is from RNAcentral.